ACAUAUCCUAUUACUCUGUGUUAAUGAAGACUAAAUUAUAUUAAUUUGUGCUGCUUGCAGUUGCUUAAGAAAGAAUUUAUGAAUGUAAAGCAGAAGCCUGUCUCUCUGAGCCUCACAAUGUGUUAGCUUUGCUACCUUCAACAGGAAAAAGACUGUGUGGUUUGCUGUGGAAUUUUGGAGAAUCGGAAGCUAAAUGGAGCCUAAAAUUCAUUACACCAAAACGGAGGUUAGACAGCAGGUGGAACUACUGAGAGUGGUGAUGAGAAACGUCUGAUAUCAGUUCUCUCAGAGGAUGCUUGUUUGAACAGAGGUACUUAUCAACAUUGGUAAGAACAGACUUUUUUUUUUUUUUAAUUUCUUUUCAAUUUGUUUCCUAUGUUUCUCGAUUUUU
RNAcentral lists this long non-coding RNA (391 nucleotides) under Zonotrichia albicollis (white-throated sparrow). Its description in RNAcentral is "lncRNA (ENSZALG00000011812.1)". The record is from RNAcentral. Lineage: Eukaryota; Metazoa; Chordata; Aves; Passeriformes; Passerellidae.